ACUACAAAUUGUUAAUUCAAUGGG
RNAcentral lists this non-coding RNA (24 nucleotides) under Trypanosoma vivax. The record is from RNAcentral. Lineage: Eukaryota; Euglenozoa; Kinetoplastea; Trypanosomatida; Trypanosomatidae.